Molecule: unclassified non-coding RNA, 994 nt
Filed under: Actinia tenebrosa (Australian red waratah sea anemone)
Lineage: Eukaryota; Metazoa; Cnidaria; Anthozoa; Actiniaria; Actiniidae
Description: kielin/chordin-like protein, transcript variant X4
Source: RNAcentral
AAACUGAAGGCAACUAGAAACCCCUGGAGGAGAGGGUNGAGCGCAUGUUUGGUUUACCAGCUUGUUUUACCUUGUUGUACGUUGUUUUGAAACCUUAAUCGUGAAGGAAUUAGUUUGCUCGUCGUUCCGUUGUUUCGAGGGGCUUCUUCCGUCUGUCAGNGGUCUCUUCUCUUUCUCAGUCCACCAAAGCAACGCAUUUACAUUUCAACGUCAGUUAUCAAAGUGGUCAGUGGCAGUCCGGAAUNUCCCGUUACCCGCGGGACAAGUCUACAUCUAAGGACAAAUUCACCAGCUGUGUUGAGGAUAUUACACAAGUGAAUUCCUGUCGAGUUGACCUGCAGAGAGGAAAAAAACUUUGAUUUGAACUGAUUCAUCCGGUCAACACGCAGGAAAAAUAAACACUUAAAAACCGUACACAAUCUCCUGGUCACCAACACAGAUAGCUACAGAUGUAGAAACAGGCUGGAUACCGAAGAUUUACGACACCGGGGAAGAUCCAAGGUUUUUAGAAGCUACAUAAAAGAUAUAAUUNAAAUACAUCCAUAACCAUGAUUGGUCAAUACACAAGAAUAUUCAUGGUGGUUACUAUGGUGACGUUAGCCACGACCCACAUGUCAAAAGCUUCCUGUAAAGUUGGAGACACGGUAAUCGAGGUGGGCAAGACUUACAAGUCCCCUCCACCUGACUGUAAGGUGUAUGUGUGCAAAGAAGGUGAUGCACUCAACUCAUAUAGCAUCUGUAGAUUAUUGGCUGUUGAAGACGUUUGCUGCGAAUACGGCUAUCAGGAUAGCACUAGGCUGGUAUAUGGCUGUGAGUGUAAAGUUCCAGGUUGUAAAGAAAAAAGCUGGUACCAUUAUAUACCGUUCACCGGUAAUAAAUGUUCAUAACUGCAAAGAAAGCCCUUUUUAGUUGAUUAUAUUGUACCAGCGUAGUAAAGAUGUCCGAUGCCGGAACAGUACUAAUGGACCAGAUCAAUAAAAUACUUUUAUCAGUC